UACAAAGCAUGAAUAUUGGAUGAUAUUUUACACAUUGCCAUCUAGAAAUAUUAGGUCAAUAUAGAGUAUAGGAGUCACAAUAUAAUAAACAGGAAGGUCUCAUAUAUUAAAUCAACUAUGUUGCAUUACAAAGAACACGAUUCAAAGAUUACAAGAUGUGAAACUAUCUAGUAGUCGCCAAAUUCUCGACCUUGCAAUCAACUAUAAUGUUCGAAACAAUGUCCUAGAAAUGACAUUCUCAGGAUCUAGUACUAGUAGUAGUCCCAUUCCCAUCCUUGAAAUCAACAUCCGAGCCAUGCAUCAUUCAUUUAUCUUGGAAAUCUAUAAAAAAAUGAGAUGAGUAACUUACUGUAGAGAAAAUGAGGUUAGUAGGGAAGUAAAAUGUAGAGGAGCAACAUACAAAGGUUGAAGGUCAUGACAUUAGUAGCUUUGUACUGAAAGUAGAGUAAUAGCCUACAUCUCACAAACACUUUUGAUCCUUGUUUUCUUAUGAAAAAAAUCUACUAUAUGUCAAUUGAAUUAACGUAAACCAUAAAGCAAGCAUACUAAUGUAGGAAAUUAGGUACUUCCUUUAAAUAAACAUGUACUGACAUACAACACAUCCUCUGGUUUUAAUGAAAGAUAUGCAGUUCUCCAGAAAAUACAAAUAGAUAAAGUUUCAACAAUUCAAAUAUACUUUAUGCAGAAAGAAAAUAAUUCACACUAGGCCAAACUUGGAUGUGCCUUAAUUAGGCACAAUGAUACAUGCUAACAAUUUAGACAUCUAUUUAUAUACUAGGAAAUUGUUUAGUACAAAAUUAAUAGAGGAAAAUUUAGUACAAGAAGUCUAAAUCUUGACAGAAUGGGAUAUUAGCCUCUCCGAGCUACAGGACCCUUAGCAACUCCGUAUUCAGUUGUACACAUCAAUUUAGUAAAAUAUUUAGAUCAACAUAAAAUCUAUAGGGAAUGCUAGAAGAUAUUAGACAUAGCGCGCGUGUACGAAGAAGUUAAUAUUUGAGAGCAAGACGAGUACUUACACAAACUUCUCAGUAUCUCAGCUGCAGACAUCACAUGACUGUCCGACUUGGCAUCCAUCUUCUCUUUUCUAAAUUGGGCAAUCUCUCUGUAAUCUAUAAACCAAUAUAGGUUUGUGACAACAUCUUCAGUUUAUCAAAGAUGUUUUUCAUUCAAAAUAGGUUAAUAUGGUUUACUAUGCAAAGUAGGGUGUAUUACCUUGAGCAUAUUGAUGUUUAUCUGAACUCGUAACAUGAAAAAUUGGCCGAUGAAGAACAUGUGAGACAUAAAUAUUUAAUGAUCUUUGUGAAGAAUCAGAUGCUGAUUAAAGGAAGUUGGGAGCCAACACCAUGUAGAAUACUAAAAGUUCUGUUUGAGUAAUUGGAGCAAGGUGAAAUCGUACAGGGUUCUGAUUCAAGCACUGAAAUUCUUAUGGAAACAAGUCAAGAAAUAACAAAACGUGUUACAGUCAUAGUAUAGCAUAGUUCCUACAUCCAGUAACUUCACCAUCUUAGAUACUAGGGGAACACAGAACCUUACAACCAAAGAAGUCAGUACCAUAGUUUCCCCCCGCGGAGUUGGCACUGAUCGAGGGCAUCUCAAGCAGGC
RNAcentral lists this long non-coding RNA (1602 nucleotides) under Triticum aestivum (bread wheat). RNAcentral's name for it is "long non-coding RNA (TAES_LNC003702)". The record is from RNAcentral. Lineage: Eukaryota; Viridiplantae; Streptophyta; Magnoliopsida; Poales; Poaceae.